UUCUCAUGUUUUUAGAUAAAAAUUGUGUUUGUUUCUUCCAAUAUGCCUCUCUAAUCUAUUUGUAAUGCAAGUUUUGAUUAUUUUCAUGCACCUAUGUUUUUACACUUCUUAUCAUUAAUUGGGCACUUUUAUUCCCAAAAUCACUUUGUUUGGUUUUUAUCUUAACAAUGCAAAAAUAGGGUGGAAAUAUAAUAAAUUUAUUCAGGCCCAGUGCUACCAGAAAGAAGAUGGCAACUUGGUUCUGGGAGUACAGAUCAAAUGUUGAUGUAACAGAGUGGGAAGACUUACCUUGGUAUAAAAACAGAUCCAGAUCUAAGAUGUCCUGUGCAGAACUAGGACUGGGACCAUAUUGAUUAAGGCAGAGAUUCUUAAACUGAAGCAAACAUUAAUACUUAAAAAUAAAACAAAAAAAGGAAAAGCUGUCCACAGAAGGUCCAGCUCAGAUAACAAUGUUCAGGAAUUUCAUAGAAGUUGUAGUGUGUCUGUCUGUUUCCUGGGUCCUUGUCCAAACCAGAGGGGAUUCUGGUAAUUUGAGUGCUCUGAACAUGCAAUUUCUUGAACACAUUUUCUUAAGGUGAAGACUUACUAGAAAUCUAGUAACCAAUACUCAGAACGUGAACACAGAGCAUUGUCUUCCAUAAGGACAGAGAAUACUUUGUAUAAUAUUCAUUCAGCAUAGACUGUUUCAUGUUUUUGUGUUGCCUAUGUCCUUGUCCUGCCCUUUUGAUCAAUGAUGAAAAACCAGACUGAUGCUGGGUUUGUGCCCUCUUUUUUUUUAAGACUGUUGAACUCUUAGAUUGCUCAGUCAAAACUCUCAAAUCAUUUUUAGUGUAGAUCAGAAAACAUGCAGGACACUUAUCCAAAAAUAAAAUGCCUGGAAAAAUUCAGGAGAGCCUGGCUUUCUCUAGGUUAUGAAGAGACAAAAAAAAUCCACAAAGAAUAAAUAUACCUUAUUGUGUCUGUUUUGAGUUUGGCUGCUUUAAAAAUACCAUAGCAUAUUGAUCCAAAAGAUCUUCAAUAUAGUUCUUGCAAAAUUUUAGGUGUAAGUUCAUACCAAACAAUUUAAUGUUCAUUACUACCCAUUAAUAAUUUAGAAUAUAGAAAUAGUAGAAAACUAUUGGCCUUGUAUAGGGGUAGAGUAGCAAAUUAGGUGUAGCUGUGCAGUGCAGCCAAGUCAGGCAAACAUGCAUGUAGAAUGUGUUCAUAUUAAUUAAAUCUUUUUCUAUUUUUUUUGCUUUUGCAAAAAAAUAAAUGCAAAAUUCUGCAGCUUUGCAUGUAUUUUCCCCUUUUUGAGUGUUUCAGUUUCAGACUUUUACCUUUAGUGGUGUUAAGGGUGUAGUAUGGGAUGAUGCUGCAGUCCUUACUCGUUUGAUUUCAAUGGAAGUUCUCCUUGAUGAGAAAUAUGUCAUCAGUUCUGUAACUGCCUUUCAAGGGAGGGACCCCGUUACUAUGUGUGAGCAUUCUUUUGUGCAUCAGUGGUGCUACAUAAAUAAUACAUCAUAAUGUUUGCUAUUAAAUUAUUCACAGAGUCAUAAGUCUCCCCUAUUCAGAAUUUCCUUUAUAUAGUUUAAAUAGGUUAAAGAAGUUGUUAUCAGAAAUAAUGUCUCAGUCUGUACCUACAGUGAGUCCAGAAAAUAUUUAAAAUAUUUUUUCAUUGUUUGAAAGUAAUCUGUUUUGAAGAACUUCUGUGCUUCAUUUUUGUAUGAACACUCUUCUUCAAGUACAGCAGACAGAAACUGAAGAUAACAUCUAAAUUUGAUGUCAACUACCACAUUUAUGUGAAAACUUUUAAGGAGUCUGAAAGUAAAGAUGCACUUCAAAUACAGCUUAAAAAAAUCUUCAAAUAAAGCCACACUCUAAAAAGUAGUACAAAUCCUUAUUUAUGUUUAUCAAAUUACUUGUAUCCAAACCAUGAUACUUGACUUAAGUUACUAUCUGUGAGUUAAGUUCUGGAAGUAUUUCCUCUAUAAUCUAUGUCUAGCUUGAAACCUGAUAGAAGAUAUGUUAUUUGAGAGAUGCUGUGUUUGACUGAAAAUACUAGGAAAUAAAUUGAAAAAUGUCCACCAGUACAUAUGCCAUAAUUUUGCCUCCGGAAUACUUUAUGGGAGACUCUUAAUCCUCAUGUUUUCCAAGUCAUGUAUUUUUAUGGUGAAUGCACAGAGCCAGAACUUAAAGAGAUCCAUGAACGUUAUAUUCUGGACACUUUUCAUUAGCUUACUUUCUUGAGAGUGUUGUAACUGCUAUCUAGAACAGUCUGUAUGAGUUGUUUUAUUGCCCAAAUAAUCCUGCAGGUGUUGUGCCAUUCUUAUUUUUAAUCUUUGUAUCAGCAGAGAAGGAAUGUCAAUACUGGAGUACUGGAGAAAAACCUGAACAUUUUGGUGACCUGUAAGGUCAUCUUAGUUCAUCUUUGUAGCUUAUUUCUUUGAAUUUUGAUAUUAUUAGCAGCUUUUUCAUGUGUUUUGUAAGAAAACACGUGGCUGUCAUCCUGCUACGUAACCAAGUAAAGACAGUGUUGAAAUUCUUUAGAAGCUGUGUGGUGCCAAAAGAACUGGGCUCCUACCAAUCUCUUUGUGUAGCACCAUUUCAUGUCAGCCUGCUGUUAGACUUCUGCCAACCUUUAGGAAAACAUUCUUUAUUUUGCUACAUGUUUAAGAAGUUCUUGUGAUUGAAAUAACUGUAAUUACCAAAUACUGAAGCCACAGUUAAUCAUUUGUCCACCAUCAAUAAGGAAGGGAGGUGCUGGUUAUCCUGAGUCCUAUAUCCACAAAAAAUCCAGUGAUACUUUAAAGCUGAUUUGCAGCUUCACUGCAGUUUCUGUCUAACACUGGAACUACAUACACGAGCUGAGUUGACAUGCAACACUCCUUGAGAUGAUUAUUGUAAUGUGGCUGCAAUCAAUGGGGUUUUUUCCAUAUUUAGUUGGAGUUUGUUUGGGGAUUCUUUCAGGAAUGUAGAAAUCUGCCUUAAGGGACAAACUUAGCCUAUGGAUUAUUAGACUAAACACAUUUUAAGUACAAAAUUUAUCUACAAUUAGCUUGACUGUUCAUAAUGAAAAGAUGGCUGAAACCACAGCCUUGUGAUUUGAUGUCUAUGGUAUGCACUGUGCAAGGUAAAACAUUAAUUCUAAAUAAAAUCAUUUUGUAAGCAGGUAUCUUCAGAUUACUUAAUUACUCAUAGUACUUUCCAAAAAUAUCUUUGGAGCCAUCCAGACUGUAUUUGUGAAACAGGAAGGAAUAAACAAUCCAGAAAAAGAGAAUGAACUCUUGAACAAAAACUAUGAUAAGCUGUGUUAGUGUCUUCUGUAUGACCCAUGAGCAGCAAUGGAAAUCAAAGGAACAGCAAAUGAAACUGCAAAUUGCUAAACUAGAGAUGGCUAUCAAAUCUGAUUUAGCAGACAAAAAUGCAAUCCUUGACAAGAUCAAAGUAGAAAGAGUGCUCAGUGACACCCCAGAAGAUGAGCAGAACUUGAAUGUGAAGAUACUGAUUUUGCUGAAUCUGUUUGAAAAAGAUAUUCCAGAAGCAAAGAAAUACCAUUGAACAAGUCAUUGGUGUGGUGAAGCUCAGGGAAGGAGCUGAGAGUAUCUUUGUGAUAAAGCAAUCCCUCUGUGGGUGCAUGAAGCAGCUCCACGCCUGGACACAUAAAGUAUCCUUUGCAGAGCAGGAAUUCCAGUUAGCCCUACUGGAAUUCCAGGCCAGUGUGACUUUGCUGCUUCUCUUGUUGGGGGUAAUUACUCAGCUAUGGGGAGCUGAGUAUUGAGAGAAAGAAAUAGGCUUUCUUACCAUUUCCAUUAUCAUGCAUGAUUUGCAUCCAUGCUGCAGCUAAAAUACUCAAAGAGUAUAAAUACUCAGAGUUCCAGGAACAUGAUAAGAGAAAUGCAAAGAAUCAAAUCUCCUCACCCUGGAAAAAUAAUACAUAGAUUUGGUGCACUUCAUAAUGUGGCUGAACACUUAAUCUUUUCUGCACGAAUAAUUUUUCUCCAAGUAGUUGUACAAAAGCACAUCUCCUCCAAAAAGGUAUUUUGUAGUCUUUCACUGGAAAAUUGUUUUUGUUCUGCAUUUUAAGACCAUAAUUUCCAUUGUCAUAAUUCCUAUUUGGUAAGAUUUAUUAGUUAUAUAUAUAUAAAAAUUUUUACCAUGUCACAAAACUCUUAAAAAUCCUAAUCAUCUGAGAGAAUUAUUAUGACAGGAAGGACUGUUUUUUUUUAUGAGUUAUUGUUCUGUCAAAAGCCAAUUAUUAUUAUUAUGUCAUGACAGCUACUUCAAUAUUGAGGAAUGUUUCUUCCCCUGAUCAUAAGACAUUUGAACUAAUUUUACUGCAUAUGCAUUGUAUCUAUUAAAGUGAUAGUAAUAGCUAAAAAUACUUUUAUUCUUUUUCUUAUCCACACUUCUGCCCUUUCCCUGCAGUUGCUAUGCAGUUUUGUUUUUCUGUUGAAUCCAUAACAUGUAACGCUGCAUAUUUUCUGAAAAUUUAGAAAUUUCACAGAAUUGAAAUGAAUUUUGCAUUAAUAUAUGUCAGAUCAUGGCAGAAGAGCACGUUACUGUAUUUUCUUGGACGAAUUUAUUGAAAAAGGAUCUUUUGUCAAGAUCCGGACAUCAACUUCAAUGAAAUGUUAAAUAGAUAAAUAGAAUUCCUGAGUAAUAUGUACAUUUUCUCUGAGAUGGAUAUUGUUUUGAGGGAAAAAGAAUAAACAUAGACAAGAAAAAUUCACAGAACACUACCACAUGAAGAUGUAGUCAUUCUCAGAUACCCUGAGCUUCAGUUACUCUAUUUGAGGACUGCAAGCAUCAUGGUUCUUUUUCAUAUCUUGUUCCUUUCAUUGCUGGUUGUGUGGAAGUGGCCUCCAUGAAAUUUGGCACAACUAAGUGCAUGACUAAGCAAGAGGAUGGAUGAAAAAGAGACUUUAAAGUCAAGACAUCUAACAUAAAAACAAUACUGUCCUCUGAAGUCUGCUCUGAAGUUGACAGUUCACUGAGUGAUUUGUUCAAGAAUUACAAAAUGCUUUGGAUCUCUAAGAAUAGCAUCCAACCUGUCCUAUAAUAGGUCUUUCAACAGGUUUGUGAUUCACAAGAUGACAGUGCAGUAAUUGGAAAGCUCAAAGGAGCACUGGAAGCUAUCCACGCGCUGCCCUCAGUCGAGAGGGGAACGCAAAGAUGACUGCGAGGCAUGAAAGGAAGUUUGCCACAGAAGAGCCUUCUCCCAGUGUAAAUACAUGCUUGAUAGUGCAUCAAAGAUGAGAUCUUUGUAAUUCCUACAGUAUAUUUAAUGUAUAAUUUAUAUGAAAAGGACGCUUGAUUUGCAGUUGUAAAGUUUUGUAUACUUUUCAGUCUGUUUGUUUUUAUAUUUCCCCCCUAAGGCUAAGAAUAUCUCCACAAUGGACAGCGUCUUGUAAAUAAUUAAUACCUACAUGAUUGAACGAUGUGCUUUAUUUGCAUUUUUAAGAUUUUUUCCUACAUAAAACAGUAAUAAAAAUGCAAGUCAAAAUUUUAAUUUUUAAUAAAAAAACCAUAAGCCUUAGAAAACUGAUUAAAAAUACUUUUAUGUUAUCCCUAAUCACCCCGUUAAAUGGAAUGCCUGUGAUUAGCCUCAUUAAGAAUUUUAUACUGUGAAGAUUUUAUUAAAAGCAAUAUAUGAAAAUUACUUGGAUUAAUGUGUUAAUCUGCCUCUUUAAAAUGCUAAUAUCCAUUUUAUGCACAUUAAAUCUCAGUAUGUGUUUUCUUUGA
Molecule: long non-coding RNA, 5721 nt
Organism: Passer montanus (Eurasian tree sparrow)
Lineage: Eukaryota; Metazoa; Chordata; Aves; Passeriformes; Passeridae
Exons: 7
Source: RefSeq, a predicted model, not a curated record